Molecule: ribosomal RNA, 465 nt
Filed under: Vreelandella stevensii
Lineage: Bacteria; Pseudomonadati; Pseudomonadota; Gammaproteobacteria; Oceanospirillales; Halomonadaceae
Description: partial 16S ribosomal RNA
Rfam family: Bacterial small subunit ribosomal RNA
Source: RNAcentral
CCUACGUGGAGCAGCAGUGGGGAAUAUUGGACAAUGGGCGAAAGCCUGAUCCAGCCAUGCCGCGUGUGUGAAGAAGGCCUUCGGGUUGUAAAGCACUUUCAGUGGGGAAGAAAGCCUUGGGGCUAAUACCCUCGAGGAAGGACAUCACCCACAGAAGAAGCACCGGCUAACUCCGUGCCAGCAGCCGCGGUAAUACGGAGGGUGCGAGCGUUAAUCGGAAUUACUGGGCGUAAAGCGCGCGUAGGCGGUCUGAUAAGCCGGUUGUGAAAGCCCCGGGCUCAACCUGGGAACGGCAUCCGGAACUGUCAGGCUAGAGUGCAGGAGAGGAAGGUAGAAUUCCCGGUGUAGUGGUGAAAUGCGUAGAGAUCGGGAGGAAUACCAGUGGCGAAGGCGGCCUUCUGGACUGACACUGACGCUGAGGUGCGAAAGCGUGGGUAGCAAACAGGAUUAGAUACCCCAGUAGUC